This 253-nucleotide ribosomal RNA is filed under the name uncultured bacterium. RNAcentral's name for it is "partial 16S ribosomal RNA". It matches the Rfam family "Bacterial small subunit ribosomal RNA", at positions 524 to 776 of the family's 1533-position model. The record is from RNAcentral.
UACAGAGGGUGCGAGCGUUAAUCGGAAUUACUGGGCGUAAAGGGCGCGUAGGUGGUUACUUAAGUCAGAUGUGAAAUCCCUGGGCUUAACCUAGGAAUUGCAUUUGAAACUGAGUAGCUAGAGUAUGGGAGAGGGAAGUGGAAUUUCCGGUGUAGCGGUGAAAUGCGUAGAUAUCGGAAGGAACACCAGUGGCGAAGGCGACUUCCUGGCCCAUUACUGACACUGAGGCGCGAAAGCGUGGGGAGCAAACAGG